This is a small nucleolar RNA of Malania oleifera, 108 nucleotides long. NCBI's taxonomy places the organism in Eukaryota, Viridiplantae, Streptophyta, Magnoliopsida, Santalales, Ximeniaceae. The record is from RefSeq and is a predicted model, not a curated record.
AAUCCGUGAUGUGGACAAGUACUUAACUGAUCCUUGAACCUCUCCUAGCAAGCCCGAAAAGUCUCAUCACCCUUUUGUAUAAACUAAAUGAUUUGUUCUUGCAAAAAU